RNAcentral lists this ribosomal RNA (440 nucleotides) under uncultured bacterium. RNAcentral describes it as "partial 16S ribosomal RNA". It matches the Rfam family "Bacterial small subunit ribosomal RNA", at positions 338 to 795 of the family's 1533-position model. The record is from RNAcentral.
CCUACGGGAGGCAGCAGUGGGGGAUAUUGCACAAUGGGGGGAACCCUGAUGCAGCGACGCAGCGGGGGUGAAGAAGGGCCUCGGCGCGUAAAGCCCUGUCAGCAGGGAAGAAAAUGACGGUACCUGAAGAAGAAGCCCCGGCUAACUACGUGCCAGCAGCCGCGGUAAUACGUAGGGGGCAAGCGGUAUCCGGAUUUACUGGGUGGAAAGGGGGCGCAGACGGCGAUGCAAGCCAGGAGGGAAAGCCCGGGGCCCAACCCCGGGACUGCUCUUGGAACUGCGUGGCUGGAGUGCAGGAGGGGCAGGCGGAAUUCCUGGUGUAGCGGUGAAAUGCGUAGAGAUCAGGAGGAACACCGGUGGCGAAGGCGGCCUGCUGGACUGCAACUGACGUUGAGGCCCGAAAGCGUGGGGAGCAAACAGGAUUAGAUACCCUAGUAGUC